RNAcentral lists this ribosomal RNA (625 nucleotides) under uncultured Actinomycetes bacterium. RNAcentral's name for it is "bacterial SSU rRNA". It matches the Rfam family "Bacterial small subunit ribosomal RNA", at positions 252 to 866 of the family's 1533-position model. The record is from RNAcentral. Lineage: Bacteria; Bacillati; Actinomycetota; Actinomycetes.
GUGGGGUAACGGCCUACCAAGGCUAUGACGGGUAGCUGGCGUGAGAGCGCGAGCAGCCACACUGGGACUGAGACACGGCCCAGACUCCUACGGGAGGCGGCAGCGGGGAAUAUUGCGCAAUGGGCGAAAGCCUGACGCAGCGACGCCGCGUGGGGGAGGAAGGCCUUAGGGUUGUAAACCCCUGUCAGACGGGACGAACCGUGUGUCGGUUAAUAACCGGCAUGCCUGACGGUACCGUCAGAGGAAGCUCCGGCUAACUCCGUGCCAGCAGCCGCGGUAACACGGGGGGAGCGAGCGUUGUUCGGAAUUACUGGGCGUAAAGGGCGCGUAGGCGGCCGAGUCAGUCGCGUGUGAAAGGCCGGGGCUCAACCCCGAGCACUGCACGCGAUACUGCCCGGCUAGAGAAAGGUAGAGGCGAGCGGAAUUCCCGGUGUAGCGGUGGAGUGCGUAGAUAUCGGGAAGAACACCUGUGGCGAAGGCGGCUCGCUGGGCCUUUUCUGACGCUGAAGCGCGAAAGCGUGGGGAGCAAACAGGAUCAGAUACCCUGGUAGUCCACGCCGUAAACGCUGGGCACUAGGUGUCGGGAGGCUUGGCCCUCUCGGUGUCGAAGCUAACGCAUUAAGUG